UCGUUGCUUACCGCGGAGGGACAUU
RNAcentral lists this ribosomal RNA (25 nucleotides) under Trichoderma atroviride. RNAcentral's name for it is "partial 18S ribosomal RNA". The record is from RNAcentral. Lineage: Eukaryota; Fungi; Ascomycota; Sordariomycetes; Hypocreales; Hypocreaceae.